RNAcentral lists this ribosomal RNA (253 nucleotides) under uncultured bacterium. RNAcentral's name for it is "partial 16S ribosomal RNA". It matches the Rfam family "Bacterial small subunit ribosomal RNA", at positions 524 to 776 of the family's 1533-position model. The record is from RNAcentral.
GACAGAGGGUGCAAGCGUUGUUCGGAAUUACUGGGCGUAAAGCGCACGUAGGCGGUCUUUUAAGUCGGGGGUGAAAUCCUGGAGCUCAACUCCAGAACUGCCUUCGAUACUGGAAGACUCGAGUCCGGGAGAGGUGAGUGGAACUGCGAGUGUAGAGGUGAAAUUCGUAGAUAUUCGCAAGAACACCAGUGGCGAAGGCGGCUCACUGGCCCGGUACUGACGCUGAGGUGCGAAAGCGUGGGGAGCAAACAGG